RNAcentral lists this ribosomal RNA (424 nucleotides) under uncultured bacterium. RNAcentral's name for it is "partial 16S ribosomal RNA". It matches the Rfam family "Bacterial small subunit ribosomal RNA", at positions 359 to 775 of the family's 1533-position model. The record is from RNAcentral.
GAUUAUCGGACAAUGGGCGCAAGCCUGAUCCAGCCAUACAGCGUGGGUGAAGAAGGCCUUCGGGUUGCAAAGCCCUCUUGUUGGGAAAGGAAAGCAGUCGGCUAAUACCCGGUUGUUCUGACGGUACCCAAAGCAUAAGCCCCGGCUACAUUCGAGCCAGAAUCCGCGGUAAUACGAAGGGUGCAAGCGUUACUCGGAAUUACUGGGCGUAAAGCGUGCGUAGGUGGUUGUUGAAGUCUGUUGUGAAAGCCCUGGGCUCAACCUGGGAAUUGCAGUGGAUACUGGGCGACUAGAGUGUGGUAGAGGGUAGUGGAAUUCCCGGUGUAGCAGUGAAAUGCGUAGAGAUCGGGAGGAACAUCCAUGGCGAAGGCAGCUACCUGGACCAACACUGUCACUGAGGCACGAAAGCGUGGGGAGCAAACAG